This 453-nucleotide ribosomal RNA is filed under the name Triticum aestivum (bread wheat). RNAcentral describes it as "partial small subunit ribosomal RNA". The record is from RNAcentral. Lineage: Eukaryota; Viridiplantae; Streptophyta; Magnoliopsida; Poales; Poaceae.
GAAAACCGCCAAUGGACUCCAUCGGAGGUACGUCGCAGUGUGGCCCAACAUAGAGGCGCCGCACACCCUCUUUGCUUCACAGACAAAGUAAUGAAGCAUGAAUUCCCAGACGGGUUCAAACCGAUGAAUAUCGAAUCAUACGACGGAACAACGGAUCCCGCAGUAUGGAUCGAGGACUUCCUCCUCCAUAUCCACAUGGCCCGCGGAGAUGAUCUUCAUGCCAUCAAAUGCAUGCCACUAAAAAUCAAAGGACCAGCUCGGUACUGGUUAAACAGUCUGCCGGAAAAUUCUAUUGGCAGCUGGGAAGAUUUGGAAGACGCUUUUCGCGACAACUUCCAAGGAACAUAUGUCCGGCCACCAGAUGCCGAUGACUUAAGUCACAUUGUCCAGCAGCUCGGAGAGUCAACCAGGAAGCUCUGGACUAGGUUCUUAGUUAAAAAGAACCAAAUCAUC